UCGUGAUCCGGGUCGAGGACGCCGGCCACGGCAUUCCCGAUGCCAUGCGCCAGCGGCUGUUCGACCCGUUCAUCACCAGC
Molecule: transfer RNA, 80 nt
Filed under: Cupriavidus sp. TKC
Lineage: Bacteria; Pseudomonadati; Pseudomonadota; Betaproteobacteria; Burkholderiales; Burkholderiaceae
Description: tRNA-Gly
Source: RNAcentral